CGAUGUUCCUAGCAAUGCUGAACUUCUGGACUUCACCCCCUUUCAUAGACUACAUGAGCCAAAGCUUCUGUGGGAACUCGCAAACCCUCAUUAUGAAGAAUGGGGUAAAAUUGUUCAGUGGACAUAUCAUUGUUUUAUGGGAAGGAGUUGGUGCGCACUGUUCCUAGCAAUGCUGAACUCCUGGAAUUCACCCCCUUUCACAGCCUAGACCAGCCUCAGCUUAUGUGGGACCGUUCAAACCCUCACAACAAUUAUGGAGGACGGGGGAAAGUAAGCGGAGACGUCUUUAGGAUUUCCAAAGUCACCCAGGAAGACAACGGCUACUACAACUUUAGACAAAAAAAACAAAACUGUGGUGUUACGGCUAAAACUCACUGUUGAAGAAGAUACCUAUUACUAUGAUUUUGAAGAAUCCGAGGACAUCUUCCUUCAAUUUCCUUGGGCCAGUAGAGACUGGACUGUCACUUUUAAGCCAUAUUACAACGACGAUGAAGAAAUAACAAUCAUAAAAGCAGGAAGUGUAGUCAGAAGCAGCAACCCUUUCCAUCACAAAAUUACAAUGAAAGAUUCUGGCAUAAAUAUCUGUUGCAUAAAAAGUGGAGAUGCUGGCACCUUUAAGUUCAGAGACCCUGCAGGAAACCUGGCUUUGGUUUCUCGUGUGCAAAUUAAUGAAUUUCAUCAUUCAAGGCCAGAUUCCACAAUUGCUGUUUUUAUUAUUGUCGCUAUUAUUGUGGCUGUCCUUGGGGUUCUCUGCUGUUGCUGUUACUGUUGCAAAAAGGGGUGCUGUAAAACAACAGAGCCUCGUUCUCUGAUAGCUCAGAGUGCAACUGAGCCUAAAGUGUAUUAUCAUGGUUUAAAUAAGACCGAAGGUUCAAGAUUUUCUGCUCCACCUUAUCCUGCAGCAUUCCCUCCUCCAGCAGUGAAUGCUGGGAUUUCUCAUGCUGCUGCUGCUGCUUCUUCUGGACCUGUGGAACAUGAACCAACAAAUGAGAAUGCAAAUAUUUCUCAGCCUGAGGUUGCACCUCCAGCUUCAGAGAACUCUGCUCCCUCUUCAUCUUCCGGUUACAACCCUGUGUCUUCAGACUAUCAGCCAAUGUUUGAGCCACACUAUCCAACAUACGAGAUUAGGAACAUAUCUCAGCCUAAGGUCACAGCUGGAGCUUCAGAGCAAUCUGCUCCGUCUUCAUCUUAUGGUUACAACCCUCUGUCUUCAGACUAUCAACCAAUGUUUGAGGUGAAAGGACUAAGCUCUACCUUUGACCUUCCACUCAGUACAGAAAAGUCUUCUGCAGAUGUUUACAAUUCAGAUAAAAUGAACUUUCUGUAACAAGGAAUUAUAGUGCUCUAAUACAUGGCCCAUUAGGGGGAGUAUUGUUAUAGAAUCUGCGCUGUAGAUAUGAGACAGAGGAUACAAGUCGUUUCACUUUCUCCUUGAUAACAGGGAAUCACAUGGAAAGUUAUUGUAAAAAUGAUCAUCAGUGCACUGAUAUUUAUGAAUUAUAUCAGUAUAAAUGUUUUGAUUAAAAUUAAAUUAGAAAAAAUUGACUUAUAAAGUAUGUUCUACUGCCUAUAGAAGAGUUAGAGGUUCAAGAUGUUGGAUAUAUCCAGAACAUGAACACCUUCAACACCCCAAACCUCAAAUGUUGCUUUAACUGCUAAAAGUUUCUAGAGCAAACUAUUUGGGUUACCACUGCUACUUCUACUACUGAUUACUGAGUCACAUUUUGGGGCAGAGGUAGAGCGGUCAACCUCUGAUUGGAGAAUCACAGGUUCAGGUCCUGCUUUGCGUGCCCACAAGUCGAAAUGUUCAAGAGAAAAACACUAAACCUCACGUUGCUCCUGGAGGUCAUUGGAAGACGUCAGUAUUCAGCAUUGGUGUUUACAUUUGUAUGUGCAUGGGUGAAUAGGAUGGUGACUGUAAAGUUUUUUGGACCUUCCAAGAGGGCAGUAAAAGCACCAUAAAAGUAUGCACUUUAUACAUUUUUUAGCAUUUAAUCAAUCUACCAGUUUUUUUAUGUUUUGACAUUUCUAAGAUGUUUCGGUAACACUUUAUAAUAAGAUUCCAUGACAAGCUUUAUUAACACAUUAACAAACAUUAUUAAUGUGCUUAUAGGAUGUUUAUAAGAUAUUUAUAAGCAUAAAUAAGCCAAAUACAGUUUAUAUACAUACUUAGUAAGAUUUAUUAUCAUCUAAAAUGAGACCCAUUGUUUAUGAAGGCUAUAUCAACAAACUGUUAACAAGCUUAACAAAUGUGUUAACAAUCUUUGUCAACGUUACAUUUAGUGAUUUGCAGCACCUCAUCUAAAGUGUUACCGAUGUUUCUGUAUGUUUUUUGUAUAAACUUAUACUGGUUUUAUUUAAAGGGUAUAAAACAAACUUUAAUGUGUGAAAUUAAUCAUUUAAUGUGUUUGUCUAUUUUCUUGUUAAACUGCUUUUAUCUUGAUGAGUUUGUACCAAAUAUAUUUCUACUGGUUAUUUUAUUAAACUAUUGAAAUGCU
Oryzias javanicus (javanese ricefish) is the source of this 2498-nucleotide long non-coding RNA. NCBI's taxonomy places the organism in Eukaryota, Metazoa, Chordata, Actinopteri, Beloniformes, Adrianichthyidae. The record is from Ensembl.